CAGUAGCCGCGGGAAUACGUAGGGUGCAAGCGUUAAUCGGAAUUACUGGGCGUAAAGCGUGCGCAGGCGGUUUUUUAAGACAGAUGUGAAAUCCCCGGGCUCAACCUGGGAACUGCACUUGUGACUGGCAAGCUAGAGUGUGGCAGAGGGGGGUGGAAUUCCGCGUGUAGCAGUGAAAUGCGUAGAUAUGCGGAGGAACACCGAUGGCGAAGGCAGCCCCCUGGGCCAACACUGACGCUCAUGCACGAAAGCGUGGGGAGCAAACAGGAUUAGAUACCCCAGUAGUCCCUGUCUCUUAUAC
This 301-nucleotide ribosomal RNA is filed under the name uncultured bacterium. Its description in RNAcentral is "partial 16S ribosomal RNA". It matches the Rfam family "Bacterial small subunit ribosomal RNA", at positions 509 to 807 of the family's 1533-position model. The record is from RNAcentral.